GCACUACGGUGCUGAAGCGACAAAUGCCCUGCUUCCAGGAAAAGCCUCUAAGCAUCAGGUAACAUCAAAUCGUACCCCAAACCGACACAGGUGGUCAGGUAGAGAAUACCAAGGCGCUUGAGAGAACUCGGGUGAAGGAACUAGGCAAAAUGGUGCCGUAACUUCGGGAGAAGGCACGCUGAUAUGUAGGUGAAGCGACUUGCUCGUGGAGCUGAAAUCAGUCGAAGAUACCAGCUGGCUGCAACUGUUUAUUAAAAACACAGCACUGUGCAAACACGAAAGUGGACGUAUACGGUGUGACGCCUGCCCGGUGCCGGAAGGUUAAUUGAUGGGGUUAGCGGCAACGCGAAGCUCUUGAUCGAAGCCCCGGUAAACGGCGGCCGUAACUAUAACGGUCCUAAGGUAGCGAAAUUCCUUGUCGGGUAAGUUCCGACCUGCACGAAUGGCGUAAUGAUGGCCAGGCUGUCUCCACCCGAGACUCAGUGAAAUUGAACUCGCUGUGAAGAUGCAGUGUACCCGCGGCAAGACGGAAAGACCCCGUGAACCUUUACUAUAGCUUGACACUGAACAUUGAGCCUUGAUGUGUAGGAUAGGUGGGAGGCUUUGAAGUGUGGACGCCAGUCUGCAUGGAGCCGACCUUGAAAUACCACCCUUUAAUGUUUGAUGUUCUAACGUGGGCCCCUAAUCGGGGUUGCGGACAGUGUCUGGUGGGUAGUUUGACUGGGGCGGUCUCCUCCUAAAGAGUAACGGAGGAGCACGAAGGUUGGCUAAUCCUGGUCGGACAUCAGGAGGUUAGUGCAAUGGCAUAAGCCAGCUUGACUGCGAGCGUGACGGCGCGAGCAGGUGCGAAAGCAGGUCAUAGUGAUCCGGUGGUUCUGAAUGGAAGGGCCAUCGCUCAACGGAUAAAAGGUACUCCGGGGAUAACAGGCUGAUACCGCCCAAGAGUUCAUAUCGACGGCGGUGUUUGGCACCUCGAUGUCGGCUCAUCACAUCCUGGGGCUGAAGUAGGUCCCAAGGGUAUGGCUGUUCGCCAUUUAAAGUGGUACGCGAGCUGGGUUUAGAACGUCGUGAGACAGUUCGGUCCCUAUCUGCCGUGGGCGCUGGAGAACUGAGGGGGGCUGCUCCUAGUACGAGAGGACCGGAGUGGACGCAUCACUGGUGUUCGGGUUGUCAUGCCAAUGGCACUGCCCGGUAGCUAAAUGCGGAAGAGAUAAGUGCUGAAAGCAUCUAAGCACGAAACUUGCCCCGAGAUGAGUUCUCCCUGACUCCUUGAGGGUCCUGAAGGAACGUUGAAGACGACGACGUUGAUAGGCCGGGUGUGUAAGCGCAGCGAUGCGUUGAGCUAACCGGUACUAAUGAACCGUGAGGCUUAACCUUACAACGCCGAAG
This 1389-nucleotide ribosomal RNA is filed under the name Escherichia coli. RNAcentral's name for it is "partial 23S ribosomal RNA". It matches the Rfam family "Bacterial large subunit ribosomal RNA", at positions 1574 to 2925 of the family's 2925-position model. Lineage: Bacteria; Pseudomonadati; Pseudomonadota; Gammaproteobacteria; Enterobacterales; Enterobacteriaceae. The record is from RNAcentral.